Long non-coding RNA from Episyrphus balteatus (marmalade hoverfly), 5874 nucleotides. RefSeq lists it as uncharacterized. NCBI's taxonomy places the organism in Eukaryota, Metazoa, Arthropoda, Insecta, Diptera, Syrphidae. The record is from RefSeq and is a predicted model, not a curated record. The transcript has 5 exons.
UAUAAUACAUGGAUAUAAUAAUAUACAUGAUUGUUUACGUGAAUACAAUUUUUUUUAAAUAAGCAAAAAGCAAAGUGAAUGAAAUGAAGUUUUGUUUGGCAAGUGCGACCAAACUAAAUAAAAAAGUGAAAAGAAUGUAAAUGUGAAACUGAUAAAGCAAAAUGAAAUAAUCAGAAACAGUUUAUAAAUUCAUAACUAGAGAGCAAAGAAACAAGAAAGGACAAAAUUGAGUUUAUGAAGCUUAACAUUGCUUUAUAAAGUUGAAUAUUUACUUAGCAACAAAGUUUUGACUUUAGACUUAAACAUUUUAAUAUUAAGUUGUUUGAUUUCAUCAGGAUAUUUAUUGUAUAAUUUAAUAGACUGGUAAAGUAUUGAGCCUUUUCCGAAUUUGGUUGUAUGUGUUCCAUUUAAGUGAAUAUUGUUUCGACUUCUCAAAAGAUGAUCAUGAAGGCUACUUCUAGUGGUUAGUUGGUGUGAAUUUCGGAUUUAGUGAUUUUGCGUAUGUGUAAUACCAUGUUCGGUUCGAUUUCAUCCUCUACCGUUAAAAUUUGAAGUUGAUUAUAAAUCCAUAUUGUACUCGUGUAACGUCCUAGUCCAAAAAGGUGUUUUAAAGCUUUAUUUUGUGCAACUUGCAGCGUUUUUUUGAGAUAUUGAUUGGCUGUACCCCAGACGUUUAUGCCAUAUGUUAGGUUGCUAUGAAAAAGUGCAAAAUAUAGUUGUCUUUUUAUAGAUUCAGGAAUGCUGUUUCGAAUUCUACCGAAGACUCCAGCUAGUGACGACAGCUUCUUGCAGAGUUUUGUGAUGUGGCAUUUCCAGCUUAAGUGCGAGUCAACCAAAAGUCCCAGGUAUUUGAAUUCAGUGACUUGUUGUAUUUCCACUCCCUGAUAUCUUAUGGUAAUAUCUGGGCUACACGUACUAAAAACUAUAUAUUUGGUUUUUCGGGCGUUUACUGUCAGUUUAUGAUCAUUCAUCCAGGAUUCGGUUGUUUUGAGGUCAUUGUUCAUUUGUUCUUCGAUAUUUGAAAUUGAAGAGGUCGAAUAGGUGAGACUUAUGUCGUCUGCAAACGAAACAGAAAAUCCAUUUAGUGGGAUAUUUAUAAAGUCUUGGAUGUACAGACAAAACAGUGUUGGUCCAAGAACACUCCCUUGUGGGACUCCCACAUCCACAGGUUGUUUUUAACUUGUGCAGUCAUCAAUUUUUAUAUAUUGGAAUCGAUCUUUCAAGUAGGACUGAAACCAGAAGUAGGAGUUUCCUCGUAUGCCAAGAGCAAAAAUCUUGCGAAGCAGAAUUUUGUCGUCUACGGUAUCAAAUGCUUUCGACAAGUCUAUGAAAAGUGUGCUGACAGUGUUGCGAUAUUCUUUAUUUUUAUGUAUGUGUGAGAUCAUAUCUAUUAGGGCUGUGUUUGUGCCUGAUUUUUUCCUAAAUCCUGACUGUGUUGGACUUGAGAUAUUAUUUUUUUCAAUAAAUUCAGUUAGUUGGUGAUUUACAACUUUUUCAAUAAUCUUCUUUCAUCUUCUUUGGUACGUAUCCUUCUUUUAAUGAUUUGUUGACUAAAGUACAAAUUGGGAGACAUAGUUCAUCGCAGCAAACUUUUAUCAAUGUGGAGAGAUUGUUUUUUUAAUAGAUUUGGGUGUUGUCAUUUCCAUCACCAAGCAUUGUGAGUGCUGUUUUUGUGGAUAUAUUAUUUUGUUUGAUGUACAUUUGGACGAAAUUGUAUUUCCAACUGUAGAGAAAAAUUUGUUUAAUUCGUUUACUUUUUCAUAUUUUUCUUUCGGUGUGUAGUUUUUGAGUAACGGAAAGUCCGUACUUUUUUUUUGGAUUGUUGUAGAUAAUGCUGUUUAUGUUUUCCCAAGUUUUCUUAUUAUUGUUCAAGCUGUUUUCAAAAAUUUUCCCGUAGGGAUUUGAUUUUGUUUUUCUUUUCUGUAUCGUUACUUGAUUUCUGAGAUAUUUGUAUUGACGUUGAGUUUGUAUGUUUUUGGGGUCUUUUGAUAACUUCGUAUACCAUUUACUCUUUCCUUUGAUUAAAAGAAUCAACUCUGUGCUUAUCCACUCAUCCUUCGAAGUAUUUUUGUUUUUUGUCUUUAUUUUGUGGGAUGUGAUUCUGAUAUAACUGUUUAGUUUUUCUACAAAAUAAUUGUACAUGGUUUCGCAGUCCAUAUAUUCAUUUAAUAUUAUGGGUUGUUUUUUAAGUUUCAUUUUUAAUUUUUGCGUAUUAGGAACUAAUAUAUGGUUAAGACUUGGUUCCGAAGUAGUAUCUUUGAUUUUAGUCUGAGGAACUUCUAUAUCGAUCACGGCCAUGUUGUGGUCUAAUAAAUCCAGGUGUCCAUGAUGAACAGCAAUUUUUUGGUUGGGAUUGUUUGUGAAGAAGUGAUCAAUGUUAGAUUUUUUUCUUGUUGGAAUAGAAUUGUUUAAAUUGAAAAAAACCAUAAGUACUAAAUAGAUUCAAAUAUCUCAAAAUAAAAUCAUCUUCAAUUAAAAUAUUGAUGUUGAAAUCUCCUAUAACUAUUGCGUUUCGUUUGGAUAAUUUGCACAUGUUAUCUUCCAUGAAAGAUAAAAAUUCUUCUUUUUUAUUAGCUAUUUAGUUAGGCCUUCUGUACAUACAUAAAACAUCUAGGGAAAAAUUUUUAAUUCUAAUAUUUGCUGCACAUACACUAUCUUCAUUAUUACUUUUUGAGAAUAAAGGCUUAUAGGAAUGCGUCUUUGAUAUAAAAAUUGUAACGCCUCCUCCCUCUUUACUUGGUCUAUUGCUAGUUAACUUCGAAAAACUAGUUAGGUUGAAGUAUUUCUCAUCAUAAUCUGAAAGCCAGCUUUCUGUUACACAAAUUAUAUCAAUCCCAGUGUUUAAAGUUUUCAGAAAUAUUUCAAUGUCGUCAAUUUUAUUUUUUAUAGAUCUUGCAUUGAUAUACAGGAUCUUGACUGUGCUUGUAGUAGAUAACUUAAUGUUUGCAAUGUUUUCAUAGACAAAAUUACAAGGGGUGAAGGGAACUUGAUGCAUCACACAAUCACAACUCAUUGAAGAAAUCAAUGUUGCGGAUCUCUUUUACUUUUCCCUUUUCUGUGAGACGCACAAGUACUCUCCCAUUAGACACCCAGGAAAAUGCAAUUUUAUUUUGUCAUAAAAUUGUCAUAAAAUCUCUUGCUUUCUUAAAUAAAUAGUUCUUAAAUUUAGUCAAAGCUUCUCCUAUAUACACUGGUUGGUUUGUGUUGUCAUUGAAAACGCAACCUGUGCUUAGGUAUUUUUUUUUUCUAUUGCUCUUCUUAUAUGCGUUGAUGAUAUUAUCACGAGCACUUUUUUGGAAGAACUCAAUCAUUAUUGUUGGUGGGUUAGUAGCGUGUUUGUUUUCAUCGGAGCCAUGUGGUUUGCGAUAAGCUUCCCUAAUUUGGUCCGAUUUAAUGUCUACAUUUAAUUUUUCGGCAAUCCCUGUGAUUAUUGAUCUAAGAUCUUCAUCAUUUUUAACCGGAAUACCUGAAAUACCUAAGCUGUAUUUUAGUGAAGUUUGUUUGUGUUUUUCCACAUUUAGUUUAUAAUUAUCGAACUGUUCCUUCAAAAAGUGUAAUUCAUUUUGGAUAGCGGUGUUCUCUUCUAUGAUGGUGUUAGUGAGAGCUUUGUAAUCAUCAACCGUUUUCCUAAGCGAAUUUAAUUCUUUUUCCAGAUUUUGUUGGUUAUUUAAAAUUUCAUCGAGUUUAUCAGAAAGUUGUUUGUUUGUGAUAUAAUAUGUUUUUAAAUUUGGAUCGGUGUUUGGAAGACUAAUAGUACCUGUUGAGUCUCGGCGUUGAUUUUGAUGCUGCUGCGGUUGAAACAUGCUGAUGCGCCGCCUGUCUCUAUGAGUCUUACAAGAAGGGCAGAACCAUACCAAUUUAUGAUCUCCGACAGUUUUUGCUUCGAUAUUCCAGAGCAAGAGGAGUUGUUAUGGUAAGCCUUUUUACAUUCACCGUCACAGAAAAUUACAUUUUUCCCAUUUAAAUUCAAAUUUUUGUUGCACUUGUCACAAAUACUGCUUUCACUUGGCGCCAUUUUGUUUACAUUUACAUUACAUUUUCUAAAUCAGGAAAAGGCAGAGAAAGUUAAUAUUUGGCCACCAUAUGGUUACUUUAAACAAAAAAAUAUUAUUUCAAUUUUAUGAGAAAAAAAACAGAAACUAGGUGUUUUUUGUAUGGAAAAACCUGUUUGGGAAUCCUUUAAGGGCGUCUGGCAGAGGGAAGGCUGAACAAUAUCUCUCUUAAACUUAUAUUUUCUAAACCAGGAAUAGACAUAGAAUUUUUAUUUGUUACCAUCAUACGGUUAUACCCAACAGAAAAUAAGCUAUUAGGUUUUUUAUUAGAACUCACAGUUUCGAAAUCAGGGGAUUUUGUAUGAUUUUUUGGUGUAUCAUUUAUUCGGUUAUACCAAAACGCCAAAAGUUGAUUUUUUGCUGCACUUUGGUUGCGUCUGGCAAGGGAAAGCUGAAAAAGAUCACUGCCAGACUUUUUCCGUUGACAUACUGUGGUGCAUAUCUAGAUAUGUGCAUACUCGAAUUUCGGUUAUAUCAAAACUGCCAAAAUAUGCUGCCGGCUCUCGGUCUAGAAGGCAUAACCAAAACACAUCAAAUGGCGGAGAAACUGGAUCGCCCGCAUCGGAAAAAAAGGCCCAAAUAUUCAUUACCAUUCAAACUCAAAUUCAUUAUUGGAUGAGCCAAGCAGAAUAGCCCCAUAACAGACACCCGUAACAAAAUGUCCGCGCUUAAAUAGGUAAUCUAUUAGUGCCUGGCUACACGGUGAAUUUUCAAUCACCUAAGCAGUGAGUUUGUUAGCAAGAGGGAUGAGGAACUGAAUUUUCUGAGGGUAGUACAGUUCCAUUACUAAAUUUUUCCUCUUUUUGACGUUUGUUCCUAGAAAAUGUAAAAGUGGAACGUGAUUGGACACAACAGUGUGUAGCCACCACAUGUGACUUUUCAAUCGAUUGAAAAAUCACUGUGUAGCCAGGCACUUUAAGAGUGGACAAAAAAAGGGUGUAUGGACCUCAGCAUGACUUUGUUGAAGUAACCCACGUUUCUAGCCGGGCAUGGUCCACGUAGCGUCUUGAUUGCAGUACAGUGUAUAUUGCAGCUAUCUCCGUCGGCAAGCAGAUAUUACAAGGGUUAAGCCACCCGUGUCAUUCUGGGUUAAUAUAACUCUAUAAAGAGCAUCUAAGUGGCUUUGUGGGGAUAAACCCACGUUCUAUGCCGGGCGUAAGAAAAAAUGUAAGGUAUCACUCGACGUUUGUUUUCUUCUAACCACAACCGACGCCGCUUCAGUGAAGAUUGUACCUAAAGAAGGAAGUUAAUGAGCUUUAGCUGGAUAAAAGCCAUUAAAAUUGUGUUUCGAAACCAAUUUAGUUUCCUGUUUGAAAAUUUUUUUCUGCAUCUAUUAAUAAUGGUGUGCGUUUUGUUAAGUAUUUCUUUUUACAUAUGGUAGUAUUAAGUGUUAGUUAUUAAAAACACAAAUUCAAACAUGCAAAACAACAAUUAAAUAAAUAAAUUUCAAUAAAUAAAUAAAUAAAUGUGGUAAAAAAAAACUUAAACCUAGUAUCACAGUUAUAUAAAAUGUCAAGAAAAAUAAAAAAAAUUUAAAAAAAAUAAAUACCACAGAUCGAAAAAGUAGAAAUGAACUAAGCUAAAACUAAUCUAAAUGCAAGUAAAUAUCACAGAUUAAGAAAAAUAUAAUUAACUAAACCACAAUUAAACUAAAAUUAAGUAAAUAUCACAGAUUAUAAAAAAAAAAAUAUCUAAAUUAUCAGUCUUUAAAAUUUAUCAAAAUUUAAAAAAUCACAUAUGCUUAAUAGUUUUUAUCACAGUUUAGUACCUAAGUAUAUAAUUUAAAUAUAUCAAAACAUAUAACAAAAUAGCAAAAAUAUAU